GGGAGGCCGGGCCGUGAGGGAGGCCGAGCCGUGAGGGAGGCGCUGCCCCGGCCCGGCCCGACCCGGGUGAGCCGCCCCAGCCGGCUCCGGCCCUCGCCUUUUUCUUUCGCCAGAGCAUUACGUCAUGCUUUUUCCUCCACGUGGAGAAAUAACAUUGUUAAGAGUUCUGAAGGACUACUGCCAGUUCUACACAUAGGGAUAAGAGAAUCAGCCCAUGUUCACAAAGACUAUUGCUCACACAAGCAAGAGUUACAAUAUUUUUCUGAGCACACUGGUCAUUCAUGUGAAAGAAUGUCAGGACUUCAAAGAAGAGCUGGGAGUUUUUCAAGGCAGAGCACAUUUGUGAUGGAGUGCAGAGGAUUCAGCUUGAUGCAAACAGACAGAAGAGACAACAUUAACAUCUCUGUAAUAAGAAGCAGCUGGGGAUAUGAAAGAAUUUCUUUAGUUAUGGUUUGA
RNAcentral lists this long non-coding RNA (456 nucleotides) under Cyanistes caeruleus (blue tit). RNAcentral describes it as "lncRNA (ENSCCEG00000012519.1)". Lineage: Eukaryota; Metazoa; Chordata; Aves; Passeriformes; Paridae. The record is from RNAcentral.